Molecule: ribosomal RNA, 501 nt
Filed under: uncultured bacterium
Lineage: Bacteria
Description: bacterial SSU rRNA
Rfam family: Bacterial small subunit ribosomal RNA
Source: RNAcentral
GAUGAACGCUAGCGGCAGGCCUAAUUACAUGCAAGACGAACGGCAAGCUUGGUAGCAAUACUAGGCCUAGAGUGUCGUAAGGGUGCGUAACACGUAUGCAAUCUACCCGAAAACUGGAGCAUAGCUCCCCGAAAGGGGAAUUAACACUCCAUAAGAUCAUAGAAUGGCAUCAUUUAGUGAUUAAAAACUGAGGUGGUUUUCGGAUGAGCAUGCGUUUUGAUUAGUUAGUUGGCGGGGUAAUGGCCCACCAAGACGAUGAUCAAUAGGGGAACUGAGAGGUUGAUCCCCCACACUGGCACUGAGAUACGGGCCAGACUCCUACGGGAGGCAGCAGUAGGGAAUAUUGGACAAUGGGUGAGAGCCUGAUCCAGCCAUGCCGCGUGCAGGAAGAAGGCCUUCUGGGUUGUAAACUGCUUUUGCCAGGGGAUAAAAUUUCUUUGCGAAGAAAAUUGAAGGUACCUGGUGAAAUAAAGCCACGGCUAACUACGUGCCAGCCGCCGC